This 68-nucleotide transfer RNA is filed under the name Triturus pygmaeus (southern marbled newt). RNAcentral describes it as "tRNA-Thr". It matches the Rfam family "tRNA". From Rfam's summary of the family: Transfer RNA (tRNA) molecules are approximately 80 nucleotides in length. The record is from RNAcentral. Lineage: Eukaryota; Metazoa; Chordata; Amphibia; Caudata; Salamandridae.
GUCCAGAUAGUUUAGGAAAAACAUCGGUCUUGUAAGCCGAAGCCGAGGACUAAACCCCUCUCCGGACA